Molecule: ribosomal RNA, 1496 nt
Filed under: Salmonella enterica subsp. enterica serovar Worthington str. BCH-4719
Lineage: Bacteria; Pseudomonadati; Pseudomonadota; Gammaproteobacteria; Enterobacterales; Enterobacteriaceae
Description: partial 23S ribosomal RNA
Rfam family: Bacterial large subunit ribosomal RNA
Source: RNAcentral
GGGGGACGGAGAAGGCUAUGUUGGCCGGGCGACGGUUGUCCCGGUUUAAGCGUGUAGGUGUGUGUUCCAGGUAAAUCCGGUUCACUUUAACACUGAGGCGUGAUGACGAGGCACUACGGUGCUGAAGCAACAAAUGCCCUGCUUCCAGGAAAAGCCUCUAAGCAUCAGGUAACAUCAAAUCGUACCCCAAACCGACACAGGUGGUCAGGUAGAGAAUACCAAGGCGCUUGAGAGAACUCGGGUGAAGGAACUAGGCAAAAUGGUGCCGUAACUUCGGGAGAAGGCACGCUGACACGUAGGUGAAGUGAUUUACUCAUGGAGCUGAAGUCAGUCGAAGAUACCAGCUGGCUGCAACUGUUUAUUAAAAACACAGCACUGUGCAAACACGAAAGUGGACGUAUACGGUGUGACGCCUGCCCGGUGCCGGAAGGUUAAUUGAUGGGGUCAGCGCAAGCGAAGCUCCUGAUCGAAGCCCCGGUAAACGGCGGCCGUAACUAUAACGGUCCUAAGGUAGCGAAAUUCCUUGUCGGGUAAGUUCCGACCUGCACGAAUGGCGUAAUGAUGGCCAGGCUGUCUCCACCCGAGACUCAGUGAAAUUGAACUCGCUGUGAAGAUGCAGUGUACCCGCGGCAAGACGGAAAGACCCCGUGAACCUUUACUAUAGCUUGACACUGAACAUUGAGCCUUGAUGUGUAGGAUAGGUGGGAGGCUUUGAAGUGUGGACGCCAGUCUGCAUGGAGCCGACCUUGAAAUACCACCCUUUAAUGUUUGAUGUUCUAACGUGGACCCGUAAUCCGGGUUGCGGACAGUGUCUGGUGGGUAGUUUGACUGGGGCGGUCUCCUCCUAAAGAGUAACGGAGGAGCACGAAGGUUGGCUAAUCCUGGUCGGACAUCAGGAGGUUAGUGCAAUGGCAUAAGCCAGCUUGACUGCGAGCGUGACGGCGCGAGCAGGUGCGAAAGCAGGUCAUAGUGAUCCGGUGGUUCUGAAUGGAAGGGCCAUCGCUCAACGGAUAAAAGGUACUCCGGGGAUAACAGGCUGAUACCGCCCAAGAGUUCAUAUCGACGGCGGUGUUUGGCACCUCGAUGUCGGCUCAUCACAUCCUGGGGCUGAAGUAGGUCCCAAGGGUAUGGCUGUUCGCCAUUUAAAGUGGUACGCGAGCUGGGUUUAGAACGUCGUGAGACAGUUCGGUCCCUAUCUGCCGUGGGCGCUGGAGAACUGAGGGGGCUGCUCCUAGUACGAGAGGACCGGAGUGGACGCAUCACUGGUGUUCGGGUUGUCAUGCCAAUGGCACUGCCCGGUAGCUAAAUGCGGAAGAGAUAAGUGCUGAAAGCAUCUAAGCACGAAACUUGCCCCGAGAUGAGUUCUCCCUGAGACUUAGAGUCUCCUGAAGGAACGUUGAAGACGACGACGUUGAUAGGCCGGGUGUGUAAGCGCAGCGAUGCGUUGAGCUAACCGGUACUAAUGAACCGUGAGGCUUAACCUUACAACGCCGAAG